GACGAACGCUGGCGGCGUGCUUAACACAUGCAAGUCGAGCGGUAAGGCCCUUUCGGGGGUACACGAGCGGCGAACGGGUGAGUAACACGUGGGUGACCUGCCCUCAGCUCUGGGAUAAGCCUGGGAAACUGGGUCUAAUACUGGAUAUGACUCCACGGUGCAUGUCGUGGGGUGGAAAGCCUUGUGCGGCUGAGGAUGGGCCCGCGGCCUAUCAGCUUGUUGGUGGGGUGANGGGCCUACCAAGGCGACGACGGGUAGCCGGCCUGAGAGGGCGACCGGCCACACUGGGACUGAGACACGGCCCAGACUCCUACGGGAGGCAGCAGUGGGGAAUAUUGGACAAUGGGCGAAAGCCUGAUCCAGCCAUGCCGCGUGAGUGAAGAAGGCCUUAGGGUUGUAAAGCUCUUUCAGCGGGGACGAUAAUGACGGUACCCGCAGAAGAAGUCCCGGCUAACUUCGUGCCAGCAGCCGCGGUAAC
This 478-nucleotide ribosomal RNA is filed under the name uncultured bacterium. RNAcentral describes it as "bacterial SSU rRNA". It matches the Rfam family "Bacterial small subunit ribosomal RNA", at positions 28 to 524 of the family's 1533-position model. The record is from RNAcentral.